GCAAACUGCCAUGGUCCCCGUCUUCCUCUCUCCCCCCUCCCCUUGUCCUUCUCCUUUCCUCUUUAAGGAGGUAUCUAAUAACUACUGCUGUUUUGCAUUGAAAUGAGUUAUUUUCUCAGGAGCUGGGCUGAGCGAGUCCUCCGGCUCCCUAUUUUAUCUCCUCUAAUAGAGUCUUACUGUACUUGAUGGGAUGUGCUCUGCAGCUGGGGAGAAUCCCAUUGUGGCAGGCACAGUGCGGUGUCUCUGCAUAAUAGUGGGACACUGCGAGGCCCCUCUUCAGCAAAGGUUGUGUUGGCCCCAGUGUUGCUGACUCUGUUUUGUUUUGCAGCUGUGUAAGGCUCCUAGGAGCUCAGUUCCCUUCAGAUCAAAUUCUGGCUGAUCUGUGGAAAUAUUCCCGAAUAAAAAUCAGUAUUUCCCUUUUGUGCUGUGGGGAAGGGGAGCUGUCGCAGCAGCACGUCCACCUAAGAAACCAGUGAUCACUUUGCAAAGCAAAAUACCUUGGACUUUACUGUCUGAUGCCUUGUGUUGUUCCACGCCUUCUCUGGGUGGUUAAAGAGCAGCCUGCUGUUCAUCCACAGGGUCUCCUGGCACAGCUGCUCUGUCUGCACAGAAAAAAGUGGUGAUGCCAUAACCCACAAAUCAAAGCGGGAAGAAAAGAACAAGUGUGAUUACAAGCCAUAGCAGGGUCAGGGGGAGGCUGGGAUCUGUGCACAAGAGAAGCUGAGGUAGCCCUCCUGGUUAAAUCUUUGGAUGAGUAAGAUCCCCUUUCUCCAUCCAAUUUAAUGUUUUAUUUGGGUUUCUGCACCUUUUCCUAGUAAUUAGGGGUCUCAGUAAGUGGAAUUUGCUUGUAAACAGCUUGUAGUACUUGUGGGCUUUUCUUUUGUUCUUUUAUUUAUUUAUUGUUUUAAAUGGAAGCAUGAGUGACAGGCUGAGCGACCGCAGAAGGACAAUUUGCAUGAUCUGUUCCAUCAAAUAGGGUAGAACAUGAACUUAACAAGGGAUGCUGGCAGCACAUUCCUGGCUGAACUUGUCAAAGGGUCUUGUAUUUCCCUGCUGUCAGAGCAAAUCUUUUGGCUGAUUGCUGGUCCUUGGUAAAUGAAAUCUGAAAGCACGUUGGGGCAUUCUGCAGUUCAGUGACCAUUAAUGAUCGCCAUUUGAAGUUCACUAAACUUCCGGUGAAUGGAUAGCAGCUAUAUAACCAGCAGGUUGAUGGCUGCAGAAUAAUAAUAUUUAAAAAAAAAUAAUCCCCUAUGUACCAUGAUGCUCACUAAGAAGAAGGUUGAUCCAGCCGUGCUCCUCCUCUGGGCCUCAGGAUGAAUAUAUCUCUUUCCCAUAGUUCUAGGCGCCUGGAUUUAGCAUGUUACGAGUUGGGAUUCGUCGUAACGGGGACAUGCAGGCAAGUGGCUGCUCUUCAGGAUGGACGUUCAUGUGUUGGGCUUCAGCAAAUACUGGUACUAGGUUGAGGGCUGGUGAGCAUCUGUGAAGUACCAGCACAAAGCUGAAGGCAGGAGGAGGAGGGAAGCUGCUGCAGUGAGGUGUUCCCCUGCCCAGCUCUCUGUAGGGUAGCAGGUUGAGCAUGUAGAAUGGGAGCACGUGGGUUGGGGUUGUCCUCCUCUACAGAUGAGUUACUCAGAAAGUAAGGCUCUGAGCUCCCUCAGAUCACACGGGGAGGGAAUGUGUGGGAGAAAUGUUUACCUUCCUCCAACCCCUCUAAUCUCUUAAAAAUCUGAAGUUUUUCUGACUCUUUAAUAUCUGAUGCCCUGUGAUACACAGGGUGGUUCCAGGGUCCCUGUGCCCCUCUGGGAAGUGACCCAGGUUGUAGAGGGAGCAAAGCAAGGACCUCUCCUGUCCUGAGGCUAAAGAGCUGCCUCCCUUGGGGCCUGCUCUUACCCGAAGGUAAGGAUCUUUCCAUGCCACUCACAGCUCCACUCUGGGGGUGCUUGUGGGGGAACCGCCCGUGUGAUUUCAUGAGAGAGGACUUUGAGCCUAGAAAAAUAAUUCUGGCCAAGCAGCUGGACCUAAUGGGACCUCAGUCUCCUUUGAGUGGUCUCCCAGUAUGAGACAAAUAAGGACAGACAGGUAUCUAGCCUCCCUGCUCUUCGCUGCGUAGCUCAGGUGGCCCCUUUUCUGCUCUCUCUGGCACAUUCCUGACAUAAAUACCUCCUAGGCUGAGUCUGCCUCUGACUUGAUCCAUGAAGUGAAGGUGCUGGGGGUGGUGGUGUGAAACUGCUAAUUUCUAGGUCAUGGAUAACACAAAGACUUGGAUGUUUCAGAUGUUAAGAAAACAGUUCAUGUGAGUGUAAAUGGGAUGUGUGACUGAGAGCCGUUUCCUGCAGGAUAGUCCCACCUGCUUCUGCUGUCUGUCAUUUGGGUCUCUGCUUGUGAGCAGUGAUACGAAGAGGACCCUACUGAGUUAGGGAACUGCUGCUGCAAAUACAAGUCAACGCAGAAGGGUGGGAUUACGUGAGAAGUGUGUGAAUGAGGCAGACCUGUUUGUGUACCAUUGUGUAACGUGAUAGCAACAAAGUAUGUUCCAGAUUCCCUCUGCCCAUGCACACACAGCGUUGGCUCCUCUUUGUCUCCGUUUUGUAUCAUCUGAAGAAACAGCCAUUGUCGGUGCUGCCUCUGCCAAAGUGCGGGAUGCUCCAGAGCUCAGCAGUCCCUCUUCCUCAGGUGGUGAGAUGGUCUUUCCCAGGGUUCAUUCUCCAAUAAACUCCUUCUUUGUCACUUCUGUGCUGCUGCAGCAGUUGAGGUGAGCACCCUGUGCCUCCAGGCCUUGUUCAGAAUAUCCAAGACUUGCCUCUCAGCCAAGCUGAAGAUGGGAAUAAGCCCCUGCUAGGUGCCACGCUUGUGUUGCCCCAGGCAAACCUUUUUGGAUUGAUUCGGCCACGCAGGUGGUGGUGAGCUCCACACCUGACUGCUGCAAUGGUGGCCACAGUGUCUUGGGAUCUGUGAAAAAGCCUUCUGUGGAGGACAAAAGGAGAAAAGCUGCCUGUGCACUUGACCGCAUUUGCUGAAGUUUUACCUUGCCCUAUGCCCCCCCGGCCUGCUAAUGCAUCCCUUCUGUCAAGCCUGAUCGGUGUUUGCUGACAUUUUUAAUGUCACUGAGCGAUCUUGUAUCUCUGGUGAACUGUCAGUGUAGAGCUGACUCGGGGCAGAGAGUUUAUCAUGUUCUUCACUUCGAUUAGCUCAGCCUUAUGGGAGGGCAGCAGAAAGCAGAGGAGGCUUUCUUUGAAUGCUGCAACAUUUCAGAUAUCCCCCUAAACCAUGUCGAUAGAGAGCCACCAUCCCAUCUGCCAGUUCUCCUUAUGUGCCUGUCAUGUGGAUCCACUGAGGCCCCGUGGGUUAGGACUGAGGUGCAGAACCUGAGCUACAUCGUUGGAGCUGGAUGUAAAUAGCAGAGUGCUCUUCAUGUCAGGAGUGGGGGGGACACCAGUGGAGAAAUACAUGCAGAAAGCAGAAGGCUGUGGGUCAAGAUCUAUGUGAAAAGGAAAACUGCUGCAGCUAACAAGCUACAACCAAGCUGCUGCCCCAAAAGCAUCAUCAGGGUAGCCUGGAUAAAUUCAUUACUGCUUAUUCUAACAUAAGGAUCAGCUCUCGUUCAUGCUCCCUUUGCUCUUUCGGGAGCCUCUGUGGUUUAUCGUUCCAGGUCCCGCUUGAGUUAGCGACAUGGUUGGUCCUGUGAUGGAUCCUCGCCCUGUGGGGACGGAGCCAGCGCUGCAUUAGGCUGAGGACACGGUGCCUGUGAUUGCAGGGUGACCAGGAGCCUGGGUCUUGCACUGUGUGAAAGAGCAAAUCAGUGUUUCCAGUUCUUCUCCCUUGAGUUAUUCUUGACUUGAGACCUCUGCCAUAUUCUUGCUUCAUUGUGUCUCUUCCAGUGCAUCGUAACCUGUCGGAGGGCUGGCAAAAAGGCACUUGUGGGCUCUGACUCUCAAAUUGGGUUGUGGAAGCUAUUUUUAACACUGUAUACGCUGUCCGGAUCUUCCAUUUCUUCUCUGGAUGUUAUGUGAUUAAAAGAUUAGAGGAGUGUUUUAUGUAACCACUAAAGGUUUGUUUUAUUCCUUGUGUUUCAAAUGAUAUUUUAUUAAUAUUUUAAAAAUACAAUCUUCAUACCCAUCACAGAGCUGCCCCUUUCUCAGGACAGCUGUCCUGGUCUGUUUGACCAUCUCUGGUUUCUGUUCACAGAGGGCAGCAUGUCUUUAGAUACAUUAAUAGCGGUUGCUUUAGAAGUGACAGAAAACCGGUCUUAGUUUGACAUCCUCCUGAAGUCCAGGAGAGCUUUUAUGAAAGGCAAGGGUUGAAUGAUGUGGGAGGGAGGGGAAAUGCAACUUUCCUUCUGUGAGCAUCACGAGGCAGAGUUGACGGAGCCUUGGGGAGCACAGCGUGGCUGUGCUGGGGGUGACAUGGCAGAGCUGGCCUUUUCCAGGCCCAGCCUUUAUUGAUCUGUAGAUACUGGUAGUUGGAAGCAAACUGUUAAUAUACAUGCACAAUUGUUUUAAGGUCACCUACCCACAUUGUGAAAUUUGACAGAGGAAGCAUGUAGUAGGAUGGUUGUUUUUUUUAAUAUUUGUCAACUAGAAAUAAACACAUCUUAAACAAACAAAGAUUUGCUAACA
This is a non-coding RNA of Phalacrocorax carbo (great cormorant), 4616 nucleotides long. NCBI's taxonomy places the organism in Eukaryota, Metazoa, Chordata, Aves, Suliformes, Phalacrocoracidae. The record is from RefSeq and is a predicted model, not a curated record.